Molecule: ribosomal RNA, 115 nt
Filed under: Methanococcus vannielii
Lineage: Archaea; Methanobacteriati; Methanobacteriota; Methanococci; Methanococcales; Methanococcaceae
Source: RNAcentral
CAUAACGGUCAAAGCGGAGGUGUAACAUCCGAUCCCAUCCCGAUCUCGGAAAUUAAGCCCUCCAGCGAUUCUUUAAGUACUGCUAUCUAGUGGGAACAAAGUGACGCCGUUAGUC